CGGCAAUGUAUGGGAACCAGAGCAGGGAACCAGUCUUGAAGGCAAAGAAAAUUCCGCCAAGUAAACAACAAAGAAAGGAAUUUGGGAUGUUGUCAGUUGUAUACAUUAUGUGGGCCGAUGACUGCAAGAAGCAAGGAAUGUGGAGCUAAUGCAUGCUGGUAAGGAUGGAAAGGUCUUGUGUUUAUUGGUUAUGCCUGAGACACCAGUCACAGUUGUACCUUAUUUUAGGUAAUAUGUUGUGAUGAAGAUUGUUGAAAGAGAUUAUCAACAUAGAACCAACCCAUAUGAAUGUGCAAGUCAGGACUUGUACAACACCUGAGUACCCAAAUGACUGUUGAACUAAUUGGUGAACAAGAAAAGAUGUCAGAGAGGGGAAUCCAAUACAGAUGUCAUGAUCAAGAAAAUGUACUGUUAUCAAUGAUAUGAUCAAGAAUUUGUAAACUUGUAGCGAUUUAGAAUAUCUUAUUUGUAAUAUAACUCUUCAAUACUUAAUUGUUUACACAUUAUCAUCUUAUCUGUAUAUUAAUCACCCCCUCUUAUAUAACCCCCUGCUGAUCGUAAUGACCUGUGUAUUGAUUCCUGAUCUUAAGGAUCUCAUAAUGUGCUCCUGAUCGUCAGGAGCGGAUCUUGAGUAUAUCUAUAGUGCGACAGAAUUUUAGAAUAAGAUAGGAAGAUGGAAAUAAGGAAGACUUAGUAGAUAGAACUGUUAGAGAUAGAUAAAGUUACUUACUUACUUGGAAUAUUACCUAAUUUUUCUUGGAUUUAUAUGUACAUGUGAUUAUUUUACUUGGAUUUUAAUUUUAGUGAAUUAUUUUUCCUAAAUGUUUUUAUUUGUGAUGUGCUGUGUAAAUAAACUGUAGACUAGAAUUUUGGCAUCUAUUUUCAAGAUAUGAGGAAGAAGGAUAAAUUGAUUUAUUCAUGCAAACUGACAUUAUGAAAUAUGUUGCAAGACCGCCCGGUGCGGCGCUACAAACUAACUAGGAAAUAUCUUGGAGAUUUACAGAUGAACAUGCAAGCAUUCAUAGUUUUGAAUGUUAUUCAGCCAGAGAGUUUUUGCACAAAUUCAAUUUUCAGUACAGUAAUUUAAACUGGAUGUGUUAUUUUCAAUACAGUUAUGUAAAAUGAUAUGUUACUUAUCAUGAUUGUCAGUUUCUCAACAGGACAUAACUGUAGUUUAUUUAUAUGCAGAUUUGCAGAACAAAACACACAGACCUUUUUUUCUCUUUGUGCAUCAUACACUUGUAAACGUUUUACACCACAAUGGUUAAAUAUUUUACAUUUAUGACGUGUAAAUCGAGCACACAAUGAAAAUGCGUGAAGAUGGAUACAUAUGCAAACAUGCAUCUACCAUAACCUAUUACAUAUUUUCAAAGGUGUGUGAAGUCGAGCACAUACAUGAAAAUGUGUGAAGCUGGACACAUACACAAAUACACAUGCAUCUGCCACAACCUAUUACAUAUUUUCCAAGGCGUGUGAAGUCGAGCACAUACAUGAAAAUGUGUGAAGCUGGACACAUAUGCAAAUACACGAACAUUUACCACAGACAUAAAAACGUAAUCUAAACUAAAUCAAGCACAGACAGGCUCGCUGGGUGAAGCUGAACUCGUACAUGAUCUCAUGCAUUUUGCAAACUGCAUCCUCACAUCUAUUCUAAUAGAUUUUUCACCAUAUUUUGUGUUUGUGAAUAUGUAAAAUGCAUCAUUUUGCAUUACAAGUUGAAGAUGUUAUUAGCCUGUAUAU
Saccostrea cuccullata (small rock oyster) is the source of this 1740-nucleotide long non-coding RNA. RefSeq lists it as uncharacterized. Lineage: Eukaryota; Metazoa; Mollusca; Bivalvia; Ostreida; Ostreidae. The record is from RefSeq and is a predicted model, not a curated record. The transcript has 4 exons.